RNAcentral lists this ribosomal RNA (253 nucleotides) under uncultured bacterium. RNAcentral's name for it is "partial 16S ribosomal RNA". It matches the Rfam family "Bacterial small subunit ribosomal RNA", at positions 524 to 776 of the family's 1533-position model. The record is from RNAcentral.
UACGUACGAGGCGAGCGUUAUCCGGAAUUAUUGGGCGUCAAGCGCGCGCAGGCGGACCGUUAAGUAGGGCGUGAAAUCUCCCGGCCUACCUGGGAGGGGUCGCUCUAAACUGGCAGUCUUGAGGACAGCAGAGGUAGGUGGAAUUCCUGGUGUAGUGGUGAAAUGCGUAGAGAUCAGGAGGAACACCGGUGGCGAAGGCGGCCUACGGGGCUGUCUCUGACGCUGAGGCGCGAAAGCUCGGGGAGCGAACGGG